AUUCAGCUGACGAGUUUCAAAUAGGACGAAACGCGUGUCCUGAAU
Non-coding RNA from Schistosoma curassoni, 45 nucleotides. The record is from Rfam. NCBI's taxonomy places the organism in Eukaryota, Metazoa, Platyhelminthes, Trematoda, Strigeidida, Schistosomatidae.